GCGCCCGUAGCUCAGUUGGAUAGAGCGUCGGACUUCGAAUCCGAAGGUCGGAGGUUCGAGUCCUCCCGGGCGCGCCA
Molecule: transfer RNA, 77 nt
Filed under: bacterium
Lineage: Bacteria
Also listed under: 3 other names
Description: tRNA-Arg
Rfam family: tRNA
About the family: Transfer RNA (tRNA) molecules are approximately 80 nucleotides in length.
Source: RNAcentral